Molecule: ribosomal RNA, 484 nt
Filed under: uncultured bacterium
Lineage: Bacteria
Description: partial 16S ribosomal RNA
Rfam family: Bacterial small subunit ribosomal RNA
Source: RNAcentral
AUUGAACGCUGGGGGCAGGCCUAACACAUGCAAGUCGAGCGGAUGAAGGGAGCUUGCUCCUGGAUUCAGCGGCGGACGGGUGAGUAAUGCCUAGGAAUCUGCCUGGUAGUGGGGGAUAACGUCCGGAAACGGGCGCUAAUACCGCAUACGUCCUGAGGGAGAAAGUGGGGGAUCUUCGGACCUCACGCUAUCAGAUGAGCCUAGGUCGGAUUAGCUAGUUGGUGGGGUAAAGGCCUACCAAGGCGACGAUCCGUAACUGGCCUGAGAGGAUGAUCAGUCACACUGGAACUGAGACACGGUCCAGACUCCUACGGGAGGCAGCAGUGGGGAAUAUUGGACAAUGGGCGAAAGCCUGAUCCAGCCAUGCCGCGUGUGUGAAGAAGGUCUUCGGAUUGUAAAGCACUUUAAGUUGGGAGGAAGAGCAGUAAGUUAAUACCUUGCUGUUUUGACGUUACCAACAGAAUAAGCACCGGCUAACUUCGUG